AUUCCUACGGGAGGCAGCAGUCGGGAAUUUUGCUCAAUGGGCGAAAGCCUGAAGCAGCAACGCCGCGUGAGGGAUGAAGGCCUUCGGGUUGUAAACCUCUUUUUCCAGGGACGAUAAUGACGGUACCUGAAGAAUAAGUCACGGCUAACUACGUGCCAGCAGCCGCGGUAAUACGUAGGUGACAAGCGUUGUCCGGAUUUACUGGGCGUAAAGAGCGCGCAGGCGGUCGUUCAAGUCGAGUGUGAAAGCCCCCGGCUCAACUGGGGAGGGUCAUUCGAUACUGAUCGACUCGAAGGCAGGAGAGGGAAGCGGAAUUCCCGGUGUAGUGGUGAAAUGCGUAGAUAUCGGGAGGAACACCAGUGGCGAAGGCGGCUUCCUGGCCUGUUCUUGACGCUGAGGCGCGAAAGCUAGGGGAGCAAACGGGAUUAGAUACCCCGGUAGUCCUAGCCGUAAACGAUGGACACUAGGUGUUGGUGGUAUCAACCCCACCAGUGCCGAAGCUAACGCAUUAAGUGUCCCGCCUGGGGAGUACGGCCGCAAGAUUAAAACUCAAAGAAAUUGACGGGGGCCCGCACAAGCGGUGGAGCAUGUGGUUUAAUUCGAUGCAACGCGAAGAACCUUACCCGGGUUUGACAUGUACUGGAAGACUCACAGAGAUGUGGUCGCUCGCAAGAGUCGGUACACAGGUGCUGCAUGGCUGUCGUCAGCUCGUGUCGUGAGAUGUUGGGUUAAGUCCCGCAACGAGCGCAACCCUUACCUCUAGUUGCCAGCAUUUAGUUGGGCACUCUAGUGGGACUGCCUGCGUUAAGCAGGAGGAAGGUGGGGAUGACGUCAAGUCCUCAUGGCCCUUAUAUCCGGGGCUACACACGUGCUACAAUGGUGGUCACAGAGGGAAGCCAAGCCGCAAGGUGGAGCAAAUCCCUUAAAAGCCAUCUAAGUUCAGAUUGGUCUCUGCAACUCGAGACCAUGAAGUUGGAAUCGCUAGUAAUCGCG
This 993-nucleotide ribosomal RNA is filed under the name uncultured Bdellovibrio sp. RNAcentral describes it as "bacterial SSU rRNA". It matches the Rfam family "Bacterial small subunit ribosomal RNA", at positions 335 to 1346 of the family's 1533-position model. Lineage: Bacteria; Pseudomonadati; Bdellovibrionota; Bdellovibrionia; Bdellovibrionales; Pseudobdellovibrionaceae. The record is from RNAcentral.